Molecule: unclassified non-coding RNA, 240 nt
Filed under: soil metagenome
Description: partial contains 5.8S ribosomal RNA, internal transcribed spacer 2, and large subunit ribosomal RNA
Source: RNAcentral
AACGCACGAGACCUGCGGACCUGCGGAGGGAUCAUUACUGAAUUGAUUUUGGGGAUGUUGCUGGUCUCUUGAGGCAAUGGUGCACUCCCUCAAACAUUUCACAAUUUCCAUCUUACCCAUGUGCACAUCCUGUAGGUGGUCUCCCAACCCACCCUCCAAGGAAAGGGGGGGAGUGUGUGGGUCUGGUCUCCUAUGUAUUUCCUUGCCAACAUCACACGUUUUGGCUGAAUGAAUCCUGUG